This 385-nucleotide ribosomal RNA is filed under the name uncultured bacterium. Its description in RNAcentral is "bacterial SSU rRNA". It matches the Rfam family "Bacterial small subunit ribosomal RNA", at positions 28 to 417 of the family's 1533-position model. The record is from RNAcentral.
GAUGAACGCUAGCGGCAGGCUUAACACAUGCAAGUCGAGGGGUAGAGUAGCAAUACUUGAGACCGGCGCACGGGUGCGUAACGCGUAUGCAAUCUACCUUUUACAGAGGGAUAGCCCAGAGAAAUUUGGAUUAAUACCUCAUAGUAUUACGACCUGGCAUCAGGAUGUAAUUAAAGUCACAACGGUAAAAGAUGAGCAUGCGUCCCAUUAGCUAGUUGGUAAGGUAACGGCUUACCAAGGCUACGAUGGGUAGGGGUCCUGAGAGGGAGAUCCCCCCACACUGGUACUGAGACACGGACCAGACUCCUACGGGAGGCAGCAGUGAGGAAUAUUGGACAAUGGGCGCAAGCCUGAUCCAGCCAUGCCGCGUGCAGGAUGACGGUCC